GGAUUUAAGGCAAGUAUUCCUAAAUCCUUCCUCAUAUAUAUAUUGCAUGUUCUGAUUAUUCUGUCAAGAUUAUGAUAUUGUUUAUGCUGAGACCCUUCUCAAACAAACUCUUACUUCUGAGAAUGAAUCCCAUGAUUGUUUUCUUCUUCCAAGUUUUGAAAAGCUAAACACCUAAUUACUCUCAAUUUCUAUUUUGAUCCAUUCUUUCCAAUCCUCAAGAUUUUAUAAAUAUCAGCUUUACAAAUUAAUUCGAAGUUCAAACGGUCAUUGAAGCAUGGGUUGCUCAAUGAUAGUUAGAACCUAGAAUGAGUUGGGAUCUUCUUGAUUAUUCAACCCGCCAUUGUCAUGCUGGUUUAGCAGGCUAAAUUCAGUUGCUUAGCCGAUAAUGGAGGAUACUGAAUAGUUAGGAAUUUCCUGAACUAUGAUUUAUCAAAAGACAGACUGUGGUUUAUGAAAUGUUGAUUCCCAAAAGUUGAUUUGAAAUAUUUCUGUUGCUGAUAAUGAUUAUGAUUCUGUUCUGUUGAUUCAGUUGUCUGUUGAUUUAAAUUGUUAGAAUUGGAUUAGUUUUUAUAAAAUAUGUGGACCAGAUUCGUGGUCAGACC
RNAcentral lists this long non-coding RNA (602 nucleotides) under Daucus carota (carrot). RNAcentral describes it as "long non-coding RNA (DCAR_LNC007550)". Lineage: Eukaryota; Viridiplantae; Streptophyta; Magnoliopsida; Apiales; Apiaceae. The record is from RNAcentral.